Long non-coding RNA from Bufo gargarizans (Asiatic toad), 447 nucleotides. RefSeq lists it as uncharacterized. The transcript is spliced from 5 exons. The record is from RefSeq and is a predicted model, not a curated record. NCBI's taxonomy places the organism in Eukaryota, Metazoa, Chordata, Amphibia, Anura, Bufonidae.
CAGCUGCUAUUUUACUGGUGUGAAGUGCUUUGAAAAAGGAAAGCAAAAAUGCAGCUUUGAAUAAACACGUCUUAUGCUGGGAUGAGCAAAUAAAUUCUCCCUGAGAUGACUUGCCUGGAGGGACUGGCGACCGUUGCUUAGUUUAGGCUGUGCGCAGCAAUGAUGUCAUCUUUAGUUGCCGACUCUGCGCAGUUAGCUGAAGUGAAUGUGCAGACCGGAUGAAAAGAUUGCCUGUCCGGAUCCCCGACAUCAUGCUCAAGCUGAAGACAUCUCCUGAGCCAUUCUUCUCCUUUGUUUCUCCACGCGACCGGCAGUUGAUCCAACCUCCAAUCAAGAUGCUCCAGAUGAAUUCAGCCUGCACCAAGUACAACUGUUACCAGGUCCCUUGGACACAGAUCUGAUGUAUCUGGGUAUUAAUCUGCUGUUAAUGUUAAUGAACACUGCCUC